CUCCUCUGGGGAGUCUUUCCUGUGAGCCUAGAUCUUCAGAUACAGGUGUGCAGGAAGACUUGCUGCUGUUUUGCCACCUCUCAGCUGCUGAAGGCAAGAUCUUCUGAGAGUCUGACUGAUGUGCUGCAGGAGUUGGGAGGUGUUUUGUCCUGAGUCUGGGAGAAACAAGAUACAAAGCUCUACCUUCUCCAGAACAGCACAUUGAAAAAUGUGUCCCAGAUGAACCUUUGAUUUGGAAAGGAAAAUAAGGUCUCCCCCAACAUGACUGCUGUUUCAAACUGAUUUUAUGUGAAAGAUAAUUGGAAAUUAUUGCAUGGCAGUAGAAAGUCCUGAGAAAACCAGGAUAUAAAGAGAAUGUAUGACAGACCUACCCUCACAAAUUGGGUCAGAAAUAUUUACUUCAGUCAUCUUGAAAGUAGAAGUACUCCCUCCAGAUAUCCUCCAGAGCAUCCUAGCUAGUGAAAAUGAAGAGAUCUGAUGAAGAAGACCGAUCCACUCUCUUUUGCUGGACCUUGAGGAACCAGUACUGGGGCAUGUGCCUGUAAGUCUUUCUUGGAUGAGAUUUCUGGCUGGCUUGAAAAAUCCUUGUUUUUCUUGAUGUGGUUAUGACUGUGGUUCAGCAGCAUGUACAAAUAUCUUCAAAUCCAAGCUUCAAGAACCAAAGAAAGUAAAUGGGCAAAUCUUGGGGGCACCCUCUGUAUAAUUUGAGGGGCACAAAGUGAAGACACGAAGCCAGAGUAGGUGAAGAACCUAUGAACUGGCAGUGAAACUGCUAUACUUAAGUAAUGUGGUUAUGCUGCCCAUUCCUUUGCACUAAAGCUGUACUUGCAGGAUCCUUUGGAUGACUUAGAUCUCAGAGAAAAACCUUAUACGGAUAUUUAUUCUUUUAGAACCAUCUGCAAAAUCAAAACGUAGACAAAAUUGUGACCUUUUUCUGCUCUAUUUUGCUGUGGUAUCUGUCUAGGGAUUAGGUGUGAAGGUAAACCAGUUUGUAGUAAAUCUGUAUAUCUUUCAGACCAUGUCUCAUCUGUGUGUGUAAAGAGCUUGAUUAGUAAACUGCGUAUCAGUCUUCAGCAUAAAAGUAUGCUAUAUCAUUUUUAACAGCCUUAAUGUUGCAAAGAUACCAUGAUAUUAUAUUUAUCCUGUCUCUAGUGCUAUGUUAUUAAGAACAAAAUAAGAGAUAAAACAAAAACAACCUCUAGACUAAUGAACAAAUUUAUAGACAAACAUUCCUAUAGCUAAUAUAAGCCAAUAUACAGACUGUUCUCCUAGAUACAAGAUUCAUUGGCAUUAGAUUACAAUCUAAGAUAGUUUGCAAAGGGUUCUUGUCCUUUCACAAGAGCAUGCUUUAGAAAACAAAAUUCUAAGUGUUAUUAACUUAGUCACAGAAUUAUUGGGAGCAAGAGUACAAUGGAAGUAUCUUUUUAAGUCUGAGUGGUGGAAACAAACUACAGUUUAUCAGUGGUUAUAAAAAAAAAAAAAAAGUCCACAGAGUAGUAUCCUGUCAGCUGAAUUCAAAUGGGAAUUGAGUAGAUUCUCAUCUAAAUGAUCUGAGAUAAAAAAAAAAAAUUCUGAGUCUGACAGUACACAUUGUUUCAGUAGUAUAAAGAUAUGUAAAGCAUGGAUGUCAACUCAAUUACAGCUUUGUGGAUGGAAUCUCAGCUGAUCUAAAAGGUGGAACUACACAUCAAUUGUACAAAGUAUCUUUCUGCUGUGAAAGGAGAAAAACUCUUUACAGUUCUGUAUAAACUGCAGGCUAGACUAACUUGCUGUAAUAACUUUAUAACCUGAGGGGAAAAGCUGCAAUAAGAAUCUUGCCUUUCAGAAUAAGCAUCUCUAAGUGCAAACAAAGACAGGAAAGGAAGGAGGUGUGACAUAAACUGGCAUUCUGUUUUUAAGUAGCUAGGAGAGGUAUGUCAAACCAUGAACCCUUCUGAGUAAGGUUGGUUGAGAGAAGAUAUUUUAAUUAUAGCACUAGAAAAAGAAGAUUUAUGAGGUCAAAUGCUCAGCCAAGACUUAUCCCUGUACUGUGAGUCAGCUGAUGAGGCAUGGCUACAAUGAAAAACUUUUUUUCACUUUUAACAUUCAAAUGCAUAACAAACUGCAGAGGCAGGCUGUUUUCCUAACUGAAAAAAAAUUAUGAGUACUUUCAGGAUGAAGCAUUCUAAUUUGAAAUUGGUUUGGACAUUUUGUUUUUGAAUGCGCCAGAAGAGCACUUGGCAGAUGGAGAACUUCUCUAUUAUGAACUUCUCUAUUACGAAGCUCUCAUCCCAGUACCUAACAAGAGGUCACUUUUUAAAUGCUCUUUGCCAAGAUUGUUGCAGAAGAAUGUUCCUGGACUGAGUAAGGACCACGGCCACUCUUUGCUCAUGUAUGUUCUCUCCUCUGCCAGUAGGAUUAUUGACUUUAAUCCUCUUCCCUCCCAGAAUUAUUUUCUUUCCUGGUAGAAAUGAUAUUUGUAGAUGUGGAAGAGAAGAUUGGAGCUCCGACAGAAUACUGUGUACAGAGUACAGACCAUUAGAACAAGCUUUGCAUGAUGAGUCAGAGGAGUUAAGCUUCUGUUAUGCUCUGAAUUGUUGUACUUCAGAUUUUGCCAAGAUGUUGAAAAAGUUGCUGUAGUCUGUAAAACUUAUUAAAUGAUUGACUUCUAGUAGGA
Long non-coding RNA from Lagopus muta (rock ptarmigan), 2656 nucleotides. RefSeq lists it as uncharacterized. The transcript is spliced from 4 exons. NCBI's taxonomy places the organism in Eukaryota, Metazoa, Chordata, Aves, Galliformes, Phasianidae. The record is from RefSeq and is a predicted model, not a curated record.